GUUGUAUGGUUAAGUGACUAAGCGUACAUGGUGGAUGCCUUGGCAGUCAGAGGCGAUGAAGGACGUACUAACCUGCGAUAAGCCGUGAGCAGUCGGUAAGAGACAUUACGACUCACGGAUUUCCGAAUGGGGAAACCCACUCAGCAUAAGCCCGGUAUCACAUUGACACUCUUUCCCUACACGAGGCGAACCGGGAGAACUGAAACAUCUAAGUACCCCGAGGAAAAGAAAUCAACCGAGAUUCCCUCAGUAGCGGCGAGCGAACGGGGAUUAGCCCUUAAGCAUCUUGGAAGUUAGUGGAACGGUCCUGGAAAGGCCGGCGAUACAGGGUGAUAGCCCCGUACACGAAAACAACCUUGAUGUGAAAUCGAGUAGGGCGGGACACGUGACAUCCUGUCUGAAUAUGGGGGGACCAUCCUCCAAGGCUAAAUACUCCUGACUGACCGAUAGUGAACCAGUACCGUGAGGGAAAGGCGAAAAGAACCCCUGUGAGGGGAGUGAAAUAGAACCUGAAACCGUGUACGUACAAGCAGUGGGAGCCCUUCGGGGUGACUGCGUACCUUUUGUAUAAUGGGUCAGCGACUUACAUUUUGUAGCGAGGUUAACCGUAUAGGGGAGCCGUAGGGAAACCGAGUCUUAACUGGGCGUCUAGUUGCAAGGUGUAGACCCGAAACCGGGUGAUCUAGCCAUGGGCAGGUUGAAGGUUGAGUAACAUCAACUGGAGGACCGAACCCACUAACGUUGCAAAGUUAGGGGAUGACCUGUGGCUGGGGGUGAAAGGCCAAUCAAACUCGGAGAUAGCUGGUUCUCCCCGAAAGCUAUUUAGGUAGCGCCUCGGACGAAUACUACUGGGGGUAGAGCACUGUUUGGGCUAGGGGGUCAUCCCGACUUACCAACCCCAUGCAAACUCCGAAUACCAGUAAGUAAUAUCCGGGAGACACACGGCGGGUGCUAACGUCCGUCGUGAAGAGGGAAACAACCCAGACCGCCGGCUAAGGUCCCAAAGUUCUGGUUAAGUGGGAAACGAUGUGGGAAGGCUCAGACAGCUAGGAUGUUGGCUUAGAAGCAGCCAUCAUUUAAAGAAAGCGUAAUAGCUCACUAGUCGAGUCGGCCUGCGCGGAAGAUGUAACGGGGCUCAAACCAGGCACCGAAGCCGCGGAUUCACACUAAGUGUGAGUGGUAGGGGAGCGUUCUGUAAGUCUGCGAAGGUGUGUCGAGAGGCAUGCUGGAGAUAUCAGAAGUGCGAAUGCUGACGUAAGUAACGAUAAAGGGGGUGAAAAGCCUCCUCGCCGGAAGACCAAGGGUUCCUGUCCAACGUUAAUCGGGGCAGGGUGAGUCGACCCCUAAGGCGAGGCCGAAAGGCGUAGUCGAUGGGAAGCAGGUUAAUAUUCCUGCACGACUUGUAAUUGCGAUGGGGGGACGGAGAAGGCUAGGUGGGCCAGGCGACGGUUGUCCUGGUGAAAGUGCGUAGGUGGUGUUUCUAGGCAAAUCCGGAGACACAACACUGAGACACGAGACGAACGCACACGGUGCGGAAGCCAUUGAUGCCCUGCUUCCAGGAAAAGCCUCUAAGCUUCAGAUUACAAGUCAUCGUACCCCAAACCGACACAGGUGGUCGGGUAGAGAAUACCAAGGCGCUUGAGAGAACUCGGGUGAAGGAACUAGGCAAAAUAGUACCGUAACUUCGGGAGAAGGUACGCUCUUGUUGGUGAAGUCCCUUGCGGAUGGAGCUGACGGGAGUCGCAGUGACCAGAUGGCUGGGACUGUUUAUCAAAAACACAGCACUCUGCAAACACGAAAGUGGACGUAUAGGGUGUGACACCUGCCCGGUGCCGGAAGGUUAAUUGAUGGGGUUAGCGCAAGCGAAGCUCUUGAUCGAAGCCCCGGUAAACGGCGGCCGUAACUAUAACGGUCCUAAGGUAGCGAAAUUCCUUGUCGGGUAAGUUCCGACCUGCACGAAUGGUGUAACCAUGGCCAUGCUGUCUCCACCCGAGACUCAGUGAAAUCGAAUUCGCCGUGAAGAUGCGGUGUACCCGCGGCUAGACGGAAAGACCCCGUGAACCUUUACUACAGCUUGGCACUGAACAUUGAACCUACAUGUGUAGGAUAGGUGGGAGGCUUUGAAGGCGUGACGCCAGUUGCGCUGGAGCCGUCCUUGAAAUACCACCCUUGUAUGUUUGAUGUUCUAACGCAGGGCCCUGAAUCGGGCUCGCGGACAGUGCCUGGUGGGUAGUUUGACUGGGGCGGUCUCCUCCCAAAGAGUAACGGAGGAGCACGAAGGUUGGCUAAUCCUGGUCGGACAUCAGGAGGUUAGUGCAAUGGCAUAAGCCAGCUUAACUGCGAGACGGACAGGUCGAGCAGGUACGAAAGUAGGUCAUAGUGAUCCGGUGGUUCUGAAUGGAAGGGCCAUCGCUCAACGGAUAAAAGGUACUCCGGGGAUAACAGGCUGAUACCGCCCAAGAGUUCAUAUCGACGGCGGUGUUUGGCACCUCGAUGUCGGCUCAUCACAUCCUGGGGCUGAAGUCGGUCCCAAGGGUAUGGCUGUUCGCCAUUUAAAGUGGUACGCGAGCUGGGUUCAGAACGUCGUGAGACAGUUCGGUCCCUAUCUGCCGUGGGCGUUGGAUGAUUGAAGGGAGUUGCUCCUAGUACGAGAGGACCGGAGUGAACGAACCUCUGGUGUUCGGGUUGUCACGCCAGUGGCACUGCCCGGUAGCUAAGUUCGGAAUCGAUAACCGCUGAAAGCAUCUAAGCGGGAAGCGAGCCCUGAGAUGAGUCAUCCCUGACCCCUUGAGGGUCCUAAAGGGCCGUUGGAGACCACAACGUUGAUAGGUGGGGUGUGUAAGCGCGGCGACGUGUUGAGCUAACCCAUACUAAUUACCCGUGAGGCUUAACCAUACAACACCCAAGAAGUGUUC
RNAcentral lists this ribosomal RNA (2915 nucleotides) under Aeromonas dhakensis. Its description in RNAcentral is "23S ribosomal RNA". It matches the Rfam family "Bacterial large subunit ribosomal RNA". Lineage: Bacteria; Pseudomonadati; Pseudomonadota; Gammaproteobacteria; Aeromonadales; Aeromonadaceae. The record is from RNAcentral.